AUUGAACGCUGGCGGCAGGCCUAACACAUGCAAGUCGAGCGGAUGAAGGGAGCUUGCUCCUGGAUUCAGCGGCGGACGGGUGAGUAAUGCCUAGGAAUCUGCCUGGUAGUGGGGGAUAACGUCCGGAAACGGGCGCUAAUACCGCAUACGUCCUGAGGGAGAAAGUGGGGGAUCUUCGGACCUCACGCUAUCAGAUGAGCCUAGGUCGGAUUAGCUAGUUGGUGGGGUAAAGGCCUACCAAGGCGACGGUCCGUAACUGGUCUGAGAGGAUGAUCAGUCACACUGGAACUGAGACACGGUCCAGACUCCUACGGGAGGCAGCAGUGGGGAAUAUUGGACAAUGGGCGAAAGCCUGAUCCAGCCAUGCCGCGUGUGUGAAGAAGGUCUUCGGAUUGUAAAGCACUUUAAGUUGGGAGGAAGAGCAGUAAGUUAAUACCUUGCUGUUUUGACGUUACCAACAGAAUAAGCACCGGCUAACUUCGUG
Molecule: ribosomal RNA, 484 nt
Filed under: uncultured bacterium
Lineage: Bacteria
Description: partial 16S ribosomal RNA
Rfam family: Bacterial small subunit ribosomal RNA
Source: RNAcentral